GCUCAACCCCGAGCGGCCAUUGGAAACUGGGGAGCUUGAGUGCAGAAGAGGAGAGUGGAAUUCCACGUGUAGCGGUGAAAUGCGUAGAGAUGUGGAGGAACACCAGUGGCGAAGGCGACUCUCUGGUCUGUAACUGACGCUGAGGCGCGAAAGCGUGGGGAGCAAACAGGAUUAGAUACCCUGGUAGUCCACGCCGUAAACGAUGAGUGCUAGGUGUUAGGGGUUUCGAUGCCCGUAGUGCCGAAGUUAACACAUUAAGCACUCCGCCUGGGGAGUACGGCCGCAAGGCUGAAACUCAAAGGAAUUGACGGGGACCUGCACAAGCAGUGGGGCAUGUGGUUUAAUUCGAAGCAACGCGAAGAACCUUACCAGGUCUUGACAUCCUUUGACCACCCAAGAGAUUGGGCUUCCCCUUCGGGGGCAAAGUGACAGGUGGUGCAUGGUUGUCGUCAGCUCGUGUCGUGAGAUGUUGGGUUAAGUCCCGCAACGAGCGCAACCCUUGAUCUUAGUUGCCAGCAUUAAGUUGGGCACUCUAAGGUGACUGCCGGUGACAAACCGGAGGAAGGUGGGGAUGACGUCAAAUCAUCAUGCCCCUUAUGACCUGGGCUACACACGUGCUACAAUGGAUGGUACAAAG
RNAcentral lists this ribosomal RNA (637 nucleotides) under uncultured bacterium. RNAcentral describes it as "bacterial SSU rRNA". It matches the Rfam family "Bacterial small subunit ribosomal RNA", at positions 607 to 1244 of the family's 1533-position model. The record is from RNAcentral.